UUAUCUAAAUUAUGGAUCAAUUUGAGUUGGCUAUCUCACAUUUCAAAAUUUUUUAUUUUACCAUCGAACUUUUCAAUUUCUUUUAUUUGAGUUAGUCAACGGUAUUUUCACUUUAAAAGUUAAGCUCACUGUUUACUAUAAUAAAUUUAGCAUUUUGAGAAUUGUACGAAGUACACUAGCUAAAUCGGGAAAAAAAAAUAUUGAUGGAUUUAAAUUCUAAAAUCAAAAUAUUGUUAAUCAAAUCAAAGCAAAUAAAUUGAAAGAUUAGUUAGUAAAAUUAAAAUUUUAAAAAACUGAAUAAACAACUGAAAAUGAUAUAUAUUUUUGAUAGGUUUGUAAGUUUUUACCUAAAAUAAAAAAUAAAAAAUAAAAAAAAGCUAAAAAACAAAAUUUUGAGCGUUUAUUUUAAAAAAUCCUCAAUAGAAAAGUUGUUUCUCCGUCAAUUCUGUGGAGUCAGAGAGGGUGGUUGGUUGGGUAGGAUUCGGUCCGAGUCGCCCGCGGUGGUGGUGAACAACUGACGGGUACGCUCUAGUCUAUUAUAUUAUACUAGUGAUGGCCCACGCUACGCUACGAAAAAUUUAUAUAAAAAUUUAAAUUUUAAAUUUUAAAUUUAAUUUUUAAUUUUUUUGUACAUGAUCCAUAACUAUACAAAUAAACAAAAUUUAGAACAGGGGAGGAAAAGGGGGAAAAUAGUUAAAGAAAAGAUAAUAUCAAAAAAAGAAAAAGAAAAGAGGGGAAAAAGAAAUAUUUUAAAAAAAUAAAUAGUAAAUUAUAUAAUAAAUUAUUAUAUAAUAAUAUAUAUAUAUAAAUAAAAAACUAUAUAUAAUAAAUAAAUAUAUAUUUAUAAAUAAAAUUAUAUAUAUAUA
Molecule: long non-coding RNA, 866 nt
Filed under: Ananas comosus (pineapple)
Lineage: Eukaryota; Viridiplantae; Streptophyta; Magnoliopsida; Poales; Bromeliaceae
Description: long non-coding RNA (ACOM_LNC013378)
Source: RNAcentral